GGCAUUUUUGGGCUUAAAAUUUCAAAAAUUUUCUGGGGGAGUUAAUGCCUCCAGACCCCCCUAUUCAUUCGCGGUAUGUCGGCCACACACGUGACCCACGGCCAUUGCUAUCCCCCUUUAAUAAUAAGUAAUGGAUAAAUUAUUGUUAAAGGUGAUCUACAGUCCGUAUGUAAACAAAGCCUUUGUUUACAUUUUUGUGUCCAAAAUAUUGAGCUUUAUUCGACAACUAUUUAUAUAGAUGCAGUUAGUGAGUUAGGUUUUGUGCAUGCUCACAGGGUUUUGAAAGCAAACCAUGCCAUGAAAUAUGUGAAGCCUAUGGUUUGUGUCAUGUAUCUAACUAUCUAGGUAGAAUACCUAAAAGUAGAUGUUGUACAAACUACAAAGUUGUGGUUUAUAGAAUCUGGCAGAUCUCCCCCGCCCCCUGUCUCCUAUUUCCUCCCUCCCCCCUCGCCCCUCCAUUCCCUCCGUUCCCCGUUCCCCCACUUCCCGUUCUCCCAUUCCCCGUCCCCCCAUUCCCCGUUUUAAAGAUAGCCGGUUUCAGUCUAUUUCACGGUUUUU
Non-coding RNA from Paramuricea clavata, 558 nucleotides. The record is from the annotation of a GenBank genome assembly. NCBI's taxonomy places the organism in Eukaryota, Metazoa, Cnidaria, Anthozoa, Malacalcyonacea, Plexauridae.